This is a long non-coding RNA of Caretta caretta (loggerhead turtle), 2278 nucleotides long. RefSeq lists it as uncharacterized. The record is from RefSeq and is a predicted model, not a curated record. NCBI's taxonomy places the organism in Eukaryota, Metazoa, Chordata, Testudines, Cheloniidae.
UGAGCUGCUGGGUUCUUUGCUCUCUCCCUCUUCCUCUCCUCCUGUGAGAACUGUGAGCACAGGGGAGAGGCUCUGUCAGCUUCUGGAAGGGAUGAGCUUUGCAUCAUCAUAAGAAGACAAGCUCCAGCACCCUCUGACAUCCCGUCACUCACAAAAAAAAUAUAAGAAUUAGAAACACUGCUAUUGCUUUCCCAUUGAGCUGUGUUUCCCCUCCCUUUCUGUGUUUGUUUUUUAAUGUUCACAACCUAUUUUCUUAUUCAUCCUUUUACCGUUUCCUCCUUUCCUUUGUCCCUGACAUUUUCAUUCAUGUCUGUGUUCUCUCUCUUUCUCCCAAGGGCUCUGUGAUUUAGGUUAUCAACAUCCUGGCAGCCAUCUCGUGAGGAUGCUGUUGUUUACUGCAACAUUUAAUAUAUCAUUUAUUAAUGGAAUAUUUAGACACUAUGUUCCCUGGAUAUGAUGAAAGAGAAAGCAGUGGGAGGAGGGGAAAGAAAGGUCCAGAUGAAGAAAAGUGAGGGGCCUUGGGCAUUGGUGCACCUUGGUCUAGUCUCCCGUGGUCCAAGAGUGAUUGCUGCUGGAAUACUGUGUCCAACUCUGGUGCCCACAAUUCAAGAAGGAUGUUGAUAAAUUGGAGCAGGUUCAGAGAAGAGCCAUCAAGAUGUGUAAAGCACGAGAAAACAUGCCUUUAGAAAUAGAUUCGAAGAGCUCUCUCUCUAUUUAGCUUAACAAACAGAAGCUUAGGAUCACAGUCUAUAAGUACGGACAUGGAGAAUUAAUAUUUGAUAAUGGGCUCUUCAAUCUAGCAGUGAAAGGUAUAAUAUAAUCCAAUGGCUGGAAGUUGAUGCUAGACAAUUUCAAACUGGAAAUAAGGCAUAAAAAAUUAACAGUGAGGGUAGUUAAUCCCUGGAACAAUUUACCAAAGGUUGUGGUGGAUUCUCCAUCACUGGCAAUGUUUAAAUAAAAACUGGAUAUUUUUCUAAAAGAUCUGCUCUAGUUCAAACAAGAAUUAUUGUGGGGAAGUUCUAUGGUCUGUUUUGUACAGGGGAGAAGAGCAGAUGAUCACUGUUAUCCCUUCUGACGUUGGAAUCUAUGAAUCUAGUUGAAACUACAGCUCACAAAAAGGAACUGCCCGGGAAUCUUUUCUGUUUUUUAAAUCUUUUGAUUGUAUUAUGUAAGUAAAACAUAAUCAGAGCAGUCUCAUGGGUGGAAUAGACUAUUCAGGUCACAAUUAAAAGGUUAUUCUGAUUUAACAGAAAUGAUCUGUCCCAACAGUAUCCCCAAUUUUAAGUAUAGAUGGUACAGAGCCUCAGUUGGUGCAGUUGGAAUGAUGGCAGUUUACAUGAGCUGAGAUUCUGUUCCACUGACUCUCUUACUGGAAGCAACUUUCAAAUGGAAUAAACUUUUCACGUGUGAGUUCUGUAAGUGAAACUUGUUGUGAAGUUAAUAUCAAAAGGCCAGGACCACAGUUUUUAGUGUCUUCUGAAUGAUGUUUUAUUCUGAACAUUAAAAUUGAAUCAGAGCAUGUGAACUAUAAAUAUUGUUCUAUAACAUAUUUAAAUCUUCCAGAAGAGAUAACUGGUAACUCAUGCACUGUAUGUUUUACUACCACCCAUAAGACAUAUUAUGCAAAGCAACUAGCAGUUCAGUCUUGACCUACAUUGUAACUAUUAUAUUUUUAUUUUGAGGAUUAUUACUGUGAUUGCUAGAGUCCUUGGGUUCCUAUCUAUUGUGGUUAUUGUGGUUAUGUAUUGUACAAACAGUCUAGUUUAGGACAAGAUGUGAAAAGGGAGUGUCAUAAAAAUAAAGGGAAGGGUAACCACCUUUCUGUAUACAGUGCUAUAAAAUCCCUCCUGGCCAGAGGCAAAACCCUUUCACCUGUAAAGGGUUAAGAAGCUAAGAUAACCUCGCUGGCACCUCACCAAAAUGACCAAUGAGGAGACAAGAUACUUUCAGAUUGGGAGGUGGGGGGAAACAAAGGGUCUGUCUGUCUGUGUGAUGCUUUUGCCUGGGAACAGAUCAGGAAUGCAGUCUCAGAACUUCUGUUAGUUAGUAAGUAAUCUAGCUAGAAAUGUGUUAGAUUUCCUUUUGUUUAAUGGCUGGUAAAAUAAGCUGUGCUGAAUGGAAUGUAUAUAUCUGUUUUUGUGUCUUUUUGUAACUUAAGGUUUUACCUAGAGGGAUUCUCUAUGUUUUGAAUCUGAUUACCCUGUAAGGUAUUUACCAUCCUGAUUUUACAGAGGUGAUUCUUUUACCUUUUCUUUAAUUAAAAUUCUUCUUUUAAAAA